CCUACGGGUGGCAGCAGUCGAGAAUCAUUCACAAUGGGGGAAACCCUGAUGGUGCGACGCCGCGUGGGGGAAUGAAGGUCUUCGGAUUGUAAACCCCUGUCAUGUGGGAGCAAAUUAAAAAGAUCGUACCCCAAGAGGAAGAGCCGGCUAACUCUGUGCCAGCAGCCGCGGUAAUACAGAGGUCUCAAGCGUUGUUCGGAAUCACUGGGCGUAAAGCGUGCGUAGGCUGUUUCGUAAGUCGUGUGUGAAAGGCGCGGGCUCAACCCGCGGACGGCACAUGAAACGGCGAGACUAGAGUAAUGGAGGGGGAACCGGAAUUCUCGGUGUAGCAGUGAAAUGCGUAGAUAUCGAGAGGAACACUCGUGGCGAAGGCGGGUUCCUGGACAUUAACUGACGCUGAGGCACGAAGGCCAGGGGAGCGAAAGGGAUUAGAUACCCUUGUAGUC
Molecule: ribosomal RNA, 446 nt
Filed under: uncultured bacterium
Lineage: Bacteria
Description: partial 16S ribosomal RNA
Rfam family: Bacterial small subunit ribosomal RNA
Source: RNAcentral